CGUAAGGCGAUGUAUACGGACUGACGCCUGCCCGGUGCUGGAACGUUAAGGGGACCGGUUAGCUCCAUUUCGGUGGGGCGAAGCUGAGAACUUAAGCGCCAGUAAACGGCGGUGGUAACUAUAACCAUCCUAAGGUAGCGAAAUUCCUUGUCGGGUAAGUUCCGACCUGCACGAAUGGCGUAACGACUUCUCGACUGUCUCAACCAUAGGCCCGGUGAAAUUGCACUACGAGUAAAGAUGCUCGUUUCGCGCAGCAGGACGGAAAGACCCCGGGACUUUACACAGUUUGAUAUUGGUGUUCGGUUCGGCUUGUGUAGGAUAGCUGGGAGACUGUGAAGCGCUAACGCCAGUUAG
Molecule: non-coding RNA, 354 nt
Filed under: Streptomyces afghaniensis 772
Lineage: Bacteria; Bacillati; Actinomycetota; Actinomycetes; Kitasatosporales; Streptomycetaceae
Description: Bacterial large subunit ribosomal RNA
Rfam family: Bacterial large subunit ribosomal RNA
Source: Rfam by way of RNAcentral